AAAACAAAGCAGAAGUUCCGCUUCUCACCUUGCGACAGGGUCAGUAAGGUUAAUAUGCAGGUAUUUUAAAUUUCUUGUAUAUCUAUGCGGAUAGGCUUGCUCUAUCCGCUUUUAUUUUUACUU
Oxobacter pfennigii is the source of this 123-nucleotide regulatory RNA element. It matches the Rfam family "Ribosomal protein L20 leader". Rfam says of the family: This family is a putative r-protein leader autoregulatory structure found in B. subtilis and other low-GC Gram-positive bacteria. It is located in the 5' untranslated regions of mRNAs encoding initiation factor 3 followed by ribosomal proteins L35 and L20 (infC-rpmI-rplT). A Rho-independent transcription terminator structure that is probably involved in regulation is included at the 3' end. The record is from Rfam. NCBI's taxonomy places the organism in Bacteria, Bacillati, Bacillota, Clostridia, Eubacteriales, Clostridiaceae.